GCUAAGCCCUAAACAUUGAUAGCUAUUAUACAAACCUUUCCGCCAGAGAACUACAAGUGAAAAACUUGAAACUCAAAGGACUUGACGGUGUCCCAUAUCGGCCUAGAGGAGCCUGUCCUGUAAUCGAUACCCCCCGUUCCACCCAACCUUAACUAGUAAAAUAUCAGCCUAUAUACCGCCGUCGACAGUCUACCCUAUGAAGGCCCAACAGUAGACAUAAUAGCCUCCCCCGCUAAUACGUCAGGUCAAGGUGUAGCAAAUGUUAAGGAAGAGAUUGGCUACAUUUUUUAAAAUAAAAAACACGAAAAGCACUAUGAAACCCUGCAUGAAGGUGAAUUUAGUAGUAAAAUAGAUUAGAGUAUCUAUUUUAACAACGCUCUGGGACGCGU
Molecule: ribosomal RNA, 389 nt
Filed under: Archaeolacerta bedriagae (Bedriaga's rock lizard)
Lineage: Eukaryota; Metazoa; Chordata; Lepidosauria; Squamata; Lacertidae
Description: partial 12S ribosomal RNA
Rfam family: Bacterial small subunit ribosomal RNA
Source: RNAcentral